UUUUUUAAUUAAAAACUGGAAUGAAUGGUUGAACGAGGUAUUAACUGUCUCUAUAAAAUUAAAAUUGAAUUUUACAUUUAAAUUAAAAGGUUUAAAUAAAAUUAAAAGACGAGAAGACCCUAUAGAUCUUUAUAUAUUUUUAGAAUAAUAAUUUUUAUUUAAAUUAAUUUUUUUUCUAUUUAUAUAUUUUAUUGGGGUGAUAGAAAAAUUUAAAAAACUUUUUUUAUUUAUUUUUUCACUUAUCCGUGAAUUUUUGAUCCUUUAUUAUUGAUUAAAAAAAUAAGUUACCUUAGGGAUAACAGCGUAAUUUUUUUUGAAAGUUCAUAUUUAUAAAAAAGAUUGC
This 343-nucleotide ribosomal RNA is filed under the name Symmerus nobilis. RNAcentral's name for it is "partial 16S ribosomal RNA". The record is from RNAcentral. RNAcentral also lists the same sequence under 1 other name. Lineage: Eukaryota; Metazoa; Arthropoda; Insecta; Diptera; Mycetophilidae.